This 403-nucleotide unclassified non-coding RNA is filed under the name uncultured fungus. Its description in RNAcentral is "partial contains 5.8S ribosomal RNA and internal transcribed spacer 2". The stretch from base 1 to 133 matches the Rfam family "5.8S ribosomal RNA", at positions 22 to 154 of the family's 154-position model. Lineage: Eukaryota; Fungi. The record is from RNAcentral.
UGGUUCUGGCAUCGAUGAAGAACGCAGCGAAAUGCGAUAAGUAAUGUGAAUUGCAGAAUUCAGUGAAUCAUCGAAUCUUUGAACGCACAUUGCGCCCUCUGGUAUUCCGGGGGGCAUGCCUGUUCGAGCGUCAUUACACCACUCAAGCCUUUGCUUGGUCUUUGGGUGAUCGUCCCUUUUCCCCGGGGUGCAUCCAAAAGUUAGCGGCGGUGCGGCCGGAUUUCCCAGCGCAGUAGAAUUAAACCCUCGCUGAAGUUGAAACCGUCUGCCCCGGCCGAAAAUCGACGGGAGACCGUGCGGAUUGACUCGCUAUUUUGCCCACAAAAGCAGAAAGAACAGAGUGAUUCGCAGCUUUCAUCACUUAUCAAUGGUUGACCUCGGAUCAGGUAGGGAUACCCGCUGA